GGUGCGGUACCCAAGUGGUAAGGGAGCAGUCUGCAAAACUGUUAUUCGCCGGUUCAAUUCCGGCCCGCACCU
The sequence is a transfer RNA, 72 nucleotides long. It matches the Rfam family "tRNA". From Rfam's summary of the family: Transfer RNA (tRNA) molecules are approximately 80 nucleotides in length. Their secondary structure includes four short double-helical elements and three loops (D, anti-codon, and T loops). Further hydrogen bonds mediate the characteristic L-shaped molecular structure. tRNAs have two regions of fundamental functional importance: the anti-codon, which is responsible for specific mRNA codon recognition, and the 3' end, to which the tRNAs corresponding amino acid is attached (by aminoacyl-tRNA synthetases). tRNAs cope with the degeneracy of the genetic code in two manners: having more than one tRNA (with a specific anti-codon) for a particular amino acid; and 'wobble' base-pairing, i.e. permitting non-standard base-pairing at the 3rd anti-codon position. The record is from Rfam.